Molecule: ribosomal RNA, 484 nt
Filed under: uncultured bacterium
Lineage: Bacteria
Description: partial 16S ribosomal RNA
Rfam family: Bacterial small subunit ribosomal RNA
Source: RNAcentral
AUUGAACGCUGGCGGCAGGCCUAACACAUGCAAGUCGAGCGGAUGAAGGGAGCUUGCUCCUGGAUUCAGCGGCGGACGGGUGAGUAAUGCCUAGGAAUCUGCCUGGUAGUGGGGGAUAACGUCCGGAAACGGGCGCUAAUACCGCAUACGUCCUGAGGGAGAAAGUGGGGGAUCUUCGGACCUCACGCUAUCAGAUGAGCCUAGGUCGGAUUAGCUAGUUGGUGGGGUAAAGGCCUACCAAGGCGACGAUCCGUAACUGGUCUGAGAGGAUGAUCAGUCACACUGGAACUGAGACACGGUCCAGACUCCUACGGUAGGCAGCAGUGGGGAAUAUUGGACAAUGGGCGAAAGCCUGAUCCAGCCAUGCCGCGUGUGUGAAGAGGGUCUUCGGAUUGUAAAGCACUUUAAGUUGGGAGGAAGGGCAGUAAGUUAAUACCUUGCUGUUUUGACGUUACCAACAGAAUAAGCACCGGCUAACUUCGUG